Molecule: ribosomal RNA, 391 nt
Filed under: uncultured bacterium
Lineage: Bacteria
Description: bacterial SSU rRNA
Rfam family: Bacterial small subunit ribosomal RNA
Source: RNAcentral
GUUAACGCUGGCGGCGUGCCUAACACAUGCAAGUCGAGCGAAGAGUACCAGAAUAUCGGGCUCUUAGCGGCAGACGGGUGAGUAACACGUAAACUAUCUGCCCUCGAAUGGGAGACAACCUGGCGAAAGCCUGGCUAAUACCCCAUACAAUCCUCAUGGAGCAUUCCGAGGGGAUGAAAGGCUCGCAAGGGUCGUUCGAGGAGGAGUUUGCGGCCUAUCAGCUAGUUGGCGGUGUAACGGACCACCAAGGCUAUGACGGGUAGCCGAGCUAAAAGGAUGACCGGCCACAAGGGCACUGAGACACGGGCCCUACUCCGACGGGAGGCAGCAGUGGGGAAGUUUGGACAAUGGACGAAAGUCUGAUCCAGCGACGCCGCGUGAAGGACGAAGG